This 603-nucleotide long non-coding RNA is filed under the name Homo sapiens (human). RNAcentral's name for it is "HSALNT0160574". Lineage: Eukaryota; Metazoa; Chordata; Mammalia; Primates; Hominidae. The record is from RNAcentral.
UCAGGACUUGAAAGGAAGGAAAGGGGAUUUCUGCAGGGUCUGCUUAACUAAACGGAUUCAUAAGCGAGAUGUUGGUGGUGCUAUUUCGUGAUGAACCAGGUUGGAAUCUCCUCAGAAUUUCCUGAGAACAGCAAUGGUAGAGAUUUCCCAGCACACAAGAUGGCGGGCGAUGGAGACAUGGAGAGCGUCAGCACACACUGGACAGGAGCAGAGAGAGGAGAGGAAGGGAUGAGGAUGACACACUGUGAUCCAGGGACUACACUCUAAGACAAGAAAUGUAUGCUGGGAGGAAACAAAGACUAGUCUGAUAUGAAACUUGCUUUCAAAAGCAGAGUUGUGAUAUUCAAGAAAAAUAUCACAGAAUAGAAUGUCCUAACUGCAAUAGGAGAGGUUCAGAUAAAAUACUACAGAAGUUCACAGCAUGGAGCCCCAGCAGUCAUCUUUUCCAAACGAAUCAUCUUACCAGAGCACAAAACCCUCUCCAAGAUACCACAUCACUAGUAAAUAUGGUAAUGUGGAAUUUAAAUCUUUAACAUCUACCAAGAGCCUGCAAAAUCAGUAUGCAAAGUAAUGUGUUGCAUUGUUUAAAGAAUACUAGGUUGA